Molecule: microRNA, 23 nt
Filed under: Blattella germanica (German cockroach)
Lineage: Eukaryota; Metazoa; Arthropoda; Insecta; Blattodea; Blattellidae
Also listed under: 1 other name
Description: Bge-Mir-9-P10_3p* (star (passenger))
Source: RNAcentral
AUAAAGCUAGGUUACCGAAGUUA